Molecule: unclassified non-coding RNA, 349 nt
Filed under: soil metagenome
Description: partial contains 5.8S ribosomal RNA, internal transcribed spacer 2, and large subunit ribosomal RNA
Rfam family: 5.8S ribosomal RNA (bases 1-120)
Source: RNAcentral
GAUGAAGAACGUAGCGAAAUGCGAUACGUAAUGUGAAUUGCAGAAUUGAGUGAAUCAUCGAGUCUUUGAACGCACAUUGCGCCCCCUGGUAUUCCGGGGGGCAUGCCUGUCCGAGCGUCAUUGCUGCCCUCAAGCACGGCUUGUGUGUUGGGCCUCCGCCCCCCGGCUCCCGGGGGGCGGGCCCGAAAGGCAGCGGCGGCACCGCGUCCGGUCCUCGAGCGUAUGGGGCUUCGUCACCCGCUCCGUAGGCCCGGCCGGCGCCCGCCGGCGACCCCCCUCAAUCUUUCCAGGUUGACCUCGGAUCAGGUAGGGAUACCCGCUGAACUUAAGCAUAUCAAUAAGCGGAGGA